RNAcentral lists this ribosomal RNA (421 nucleotides) under Fusobacteriota bacterium. Its description in RNAcentral is "Fusobacteria bacterium partial 16S ribosomal RNA". It matches the Rfam family "Bacterial small subunit ribosomal RNA", at positions 355 to 776 of the family's 1533-position model. The record is from RNAcentral. Lineage: Bacteria; Fusobacteriati; Fusobacteriota.
UGGGGAAUUUUGCACAAUGGGGGGAACCUUGAUGCAGCGACGCCGCGUGAGGGAUGGAGGCCUUCGGGUUGUGAACCUCUUUCGCUCGUGUGCAAGCCGCUAUUUGGGUAGUGGUGAGUGUAGCGGGUAAAGAAGCGCCGGCUAACUACGUGCCAGCAGCCGCGGUAAUACGUAGGGCGCGGGCGUUGUCCGGAUUUAUUGGGCGUAAAGGGCUUGUAGGCGGUUUGUCGCGCCUGUCGUGUAAUCCUCUGGCUUAACUGGGGGUGUGCGGUGGGUACGGGCAGGCUUGAGUGCGGUAGGGGAGAUUGGAAUUCCUGGUGUAGCGGUGGAAUGCGCAGAUAUCAGGAGGAACACCGGUGGCGAAGGCGGGUCUCUGGGCCGUUACUGACGCUGAGGAGCGAAGGCGUGGGGAGCGAACAGG